Molecule: transfer RNA, 67 nt
Filed under: Marmota monax (woodchuck)
Lineage: Eukaryota; Metazoa; Chordata; Mammalia; Rodentia; Sciuridae
Description: tRNA.Val
Rfam family: tRNA
About the family: Transfer RNA (tRNA) molecules are approximately 80 nucleotides in length. Their secondary structure includes four short double-helical elements and three loops (D, anti-codon, and T loops). Further hydrogen bonds mediate the characteristic L-shaped molecular structure. tRNAs have two regions of fundamental functional importance: the anti-codon, which is responsible for specific mRNA codon recognition, and the 3' end, to which the tRNAs corresponding amino acid is attached (by aminoacyl-tRNA synthetases). tRNAs cope with the degeneracy of the genetic code in two manners: having more than one tRNA (with a specific anti-codon) for a particular amino acid; and 'wobble' base-pairing, i.e. permitting non-standard base-pairing at the 3rd anti-codon position.
Source: RNAcentral
GGUUGUGACUCAGUGGUAGAGCGCUUGCCUAACAUGCAUGAGGCACUGGGUUCGAUCCCCGGCACCA